Long non-coding RNA from Vicia villosa (hairy vetch), 1129 nucleotides. RefSeq lists it as uncharacterized. NCBI's taxonomy places the organism in Eukaryota, Viridiplantae, Streptophyta, Magnoliopsida, Fabales, Fabaceae. The transcript is spliced from 7 exons. The record is from RefSeq and is a predicted model, not a curated record.
AAAGAAAUUCACCUACGCAACGGGCAGUAUUUGAAUAUCUUAAAGGGAGAGUGUUAGAUGUAUAUCCUAAAUAUAAGAAAGAAGCUAAGGAUCAUCUAUCAAAAGUUGUUAAGUUGAAUCCAUUAGAAGAAACACUCCUUCCCCUUUUCAACGAAAUAACUGAGUCAUAUCAGAUCCUAAUAUCUUCGGAAGGUCUUCAGAACAAGAAAGAAUGACCAUAUAGUUCUGGCGGGAAGGUGAUAUACUUUAUAAGCUUCAUCAUCCAAAUGUGGUGGAAUUUUAUGGGGUAGUUCAAGAUGGACUAAGAGGAACAAUGGCAACUGUCACGAAGUUCACAAUGGAUCUGAAAAUGCCUUAGACAAACAAGGUUACCAAGUUCCCUUGACAAUUUUGGUUGAUAAAGAAAGGAACAAAGCUGUGUAUGCUGAGUCAGGAACAACAAAUACGGCGGGUCCUUCACCAAGAGUGGUAAAUCAAUUAGAAAAAGGGAAGACGGAGUGCUGAAGAAAAAACUUCCAUUGGUCGUAGGAAGACAUCGGCUGCCCUGUCAAUUCGUGGGAGACCACCACAUCCAUCAAACUCAGAUUCAUAAACUGCUACCAUGACUAUUUUCAGAUGAGCUUUUCCAGUUUGGUUAGAGCAAUAAUUUGAGAAUGGAGAUAUGGAUUCUUGAGUAAGAGACAGGAGAUAUGCAUUUCAAAAGCUAUUUUCAGAUGAGUUUUUCAAGUUUAUGGCUUUAGCAAGUUUAUUUUAGCAGUCUCACUAACCAGUUAAAUCCAGGAUGAAAAAGUAGAAAAUGAUGAUAGUAGUAGAGGAAAUAAUGCUUGCAGCUCGGAACUUUUAAGCCACGCAGCUGGUGUUGGACCUGAUGACAACUUAGUGACAUCAUUUGCAGUUCUCAGGGAUUGUAUUUCAUAUGAAAAUGUUUAAGAACAUUCAGAUAUUGCAAGGAGUGUCUCAAAUACAGAAACGUCACUACCAGAGUCAUCAUGUCAUGAGAAUCUUGAUGUGCAGAGUUAUGACGCUAAUGAAUUGAAUGCUUCGGCGAUUGCCAACUGUUCUAGAAUCACAGAAUCAGAAAUUGAAAGGGAGGAAACUGAUCUGGAAUCAAAACGUGCCAUCGAUGACU